GGUCUAAGGCGCCGCACUCAAGUUGCGGUCUCGAAAGAGGCGUGAGUUCGAAUCUCACAGAUACCA
This is a transfer RNA of Smittium culicis, 66 nucleotides long. It matches the Rfam family "tRNA", at positions 17 to 71 of the family's 71-position model. From Rfam's summary of the family: Transfer RNA (tRNA) molecules are approximately 80 nucleotides in length. NCBI's taxonomy places the organism in Eukaryota, Fungi, Kickxellomycota, Harpellomycetes, Harpellales, Legeriomycetaceae. The record is from Rfam.